This 520-nucleotide ribosomal RNA is filed under the name uncultured Glomeromycotina. RNAcentral's name for it is "SSU rRNA". It matches the Rfam family "Eukaryotic small subunit ribosomal RNA", at positions 569 to 1088 of the family's 1831-position model. Lineage: Eukaryota; Fungi; Glomeromycota. The record is from RNAcentral.
AGCAGCCGCGGUAAUUCCAGCUCCAAUAGCGUAUAUUAAAGUUGUUGCAGUUAAAAGCUCGUAGUUGAAUUUCGGGAUUUAUCCGUUGGUCGGGCUUUUGGGUCUGUACUGGCGUGAUGGAUUUCUACCUUCUGAAUAACCGGCAUGUCAUUAAUUUGGUGCGCCGGGGAAGCAGGACUGUUACCUUGAAAAAAUUAGAGUGCUUAAAGCAGGCUAUUGCCUGAAUACAUUAGCAUGGAAUAAUGAAAUAGGACGGCAUGGUUCUAUUUUGUUGGUUUCUAGGAUCACCGUAAUGAUUAAUAGGGAUAGUUGGGGGCAUUAGUAUUUAAUUGUCAGAGGUGAAAUUCUUGGAUUUAUUGAAGACUAACUUCUGCGAAAGCAUUUGCCAAGGAUGUUUUCAUUAAUCAAGAACGAAAGUUAGGGGAUCGAAGACGAUCAGAUACCGUCGUAGUCUUAACCAUAAACUAUAGCCGACUAGGGAUCGGACGAUAGUUAAUUUUUUUAAUGUACUUCGGUUACG